RNAcentral lists this long non-coding RNA (1093 nucleotides) under Panthera leo (lion). RNAcentral's name for it is "lncRNA (ENSPLOG00000010236.1)". Lineage: Eukaryota; Metazoa; Chordata; Mammalia; Carnivora; Felidae. The record is from RNAcentral.
GGUGGACUGGGGAGGUGGGCAGAGGUGUGGCCCUGAGUUUGGGCGGGUCUCUGCAGAUUCAGACAGCUGAGAAGGUGGCCCCUGUGACCAGGACAGGGAGGGGGUCGUGUGUUCCACCUUCCUGAGGGGUCCUCCGCCUGGGUGGGGGCCGGAGGGGGGGAGGCAAGGGCCUAGAGUCCCUGACCCCGCAGGCCCUGACACUGGGGUCUCAGUGGGGAGGGUUGCGGACUAACCCCACAACCCCCUCCCCACCCUAGGUGCCCGUGAGGACUGGACACGGGCCCUUCGCGGGCACUGCGUGAUGUCGGCCCAAGAGCUCGUGGCCUGCCUCUGCCGGGAGGGAGACCGGCACCUGGCCCUGGGAGAGCCCCCCUUGGCCACCGCCUUCUACCUGGCUGCCUUCAGCUGCCACGCCCCCUCGGCCCUGCGGAGCGUCCGCGCUGCCCUGGCGGAGGCACAGGGGGCGCCGGUGGUGGCCACGCUCGAGGCCUGGUGCCGGGGCGACAGCCAGAUCCCGCCCAUCCACUGGGACGGUAUGGCGGUUGUGUCCCUCACGGGGACCCUGGCCUCCGCGUUCCUGGCCGCCCUCUGCCCGGACCACCCGGCCACGGUCCUGCACUCCCUGGCCGGCCUGCUGGCACACGGGCACCACGAGGAAGUGGUGCGGCGCUGCGACAGCCUGCUGGAUGCCCACGGCCAGCAAGCCCUGGAGCUACAGCUGACCCGCGCCCUGGCCCGCGUCCUGUCCGGGCUGCAGGCCGACGCGGGCGCGGUCGACUAUCUGCAGGCCUUUGCCUCGAACGCAGACCGGACCGUGGCCUUCGUUCGAACCCACCAGAAGCCCUACCUCCCCGUGCUGAUCGGCACCCUCCAGGACUACAUCUCAGGGCGCCGGGAGGCAGAGGACGGCACCGGCCUGCAGGAGACCGCCUGCCGGGGACUCCUGGCAGCCCUGGACCCCGGGGGCACCUGGAGCCACGCCCUGUCACCGGAAGCCCUGCUGCGCAGCGGCAGGUAUGAGGACUGCCGGGCAGCGUGCAGCCGGGCCCUGGAGUCUGACCUGGUGGGCAGCGGCCCCCAAGGUAAGAGUGUG